This 2902-nucleotide ribosomal RNA is filed under the name Klebsiella pneumoniae. RNAcentral's name for it is "23S ribosomal RNA". It matches the Rfam family "Bacterial large subunit ribosomal RNA". Lineage: Bacteria; Pseudomonadati; Pseudomonadota; Gammaproteobacteria; Enterobacterales; Enterobacteriaceae. The record is from RNAcentral.
GGUUAAGCGACUAAGCGUACACGGUGGAUGCCCUGGCAGUCAGAGGCGAUGAAGGACGUGCUAAUCUGCGAAAAGCGUCGGUAAGGUGAUAUGAACCGUUACAGCCGGCGAUGUCCGAAUGGGGAAACCCAGUGCAAUUCGUUGCACUAUCGUUAACUGAAUACAUAGGUUAACGAGGCGAACCGGGGGAACUGAAACAUCUAAGUACCCCGAGGAAAAGAAAUCAACCGAGAUUCCCCCAGUAGCGGCGAGCGAACGGGGAGCAGCCCAGAGUCUGAAUCAGCUUGUGUGUUAGUGGAACGGUCUGGAAAGUCCGACGGUACAGGGUGAUAGUCCCGUACACCAAAAUGCACAGGUUGUGAACUCGAAGAGUAGGGCGGGACACGUGGUAUCCUGUCUGAAUAUGGGGGGACCAUCCUCCAAGGCUAAAUACUCCUGACUGACCGAUAGUGAACCAGUACCGUGAGGGAAAGGCGAAAAGAACCCCGGCGAGGGGAGUGAAAAAGAACCUGAAACCGUGUACGUACAAGCAGUGGGAGCACCUUCGGGUGUGACUGCGUACCUUUUGUAUAAUGGGUCAGCGACUUAUAUUCUGUAGCAAGGUUAACCGUAUAGGGGAGCCGCAGGGAAACCGAGUCUUAACUGGGCGUUAAGUUGCAGGGUAUAGACCCGAAACCCGGUGAUCUAGCCAUGGGCAGGUUGAAGGUUGGGUAACACUAACUGGAGGACCGAACCGACUAAUGUUGAAAAAUUAGCGGAUGACUUGUGGCUGGGGGUGAAAGGCCAAUCAAACCGGGAGAUAGCUGGUUCUCCCCGAAAGCUAUUUAGGUAGCGCCUCGUGAAUUCAUCUUCGGGGGUAGAGCACUGUUUCGGCUAGGGGGUCAUCCCGACUUACCAACCCGAUGCAAACUACGAAUACCGAAGAAUGUUAUCACGGGAGACACACGGCGGGUGCUAACGUCCGUCGUGAAGAGGGAAACAACCCAGACCGCCAGCUAAGGUCCCAAAGUCAUGGUUAAGUGGGAAACGAUGUGGGAAGGCACAGACAGCCAGGAUGUUGGCUUAGAAGCAGCCAUCAUUUAAAGAAAGCGUAAUAGCUCACUGGUCGAGUCGGCCUGCGCGGAAGAUGUAACGGGGCUAAACCAUGCACCGAAGCUGCGGCAGCGACACUAUGUGUUGUUGGGUAGGGGAGCGUUCUGUAAGCCUGCGAAGGUGUGCUGUGAGGCAUGCUGGAGGUAUCAGAAGUGCGAAUGCUGACAUAAGUAACGAUAAAGCGGGUGAAAAGCCCGCUCGCCGGAAGACCAAGGGUUCCUGUCCAACGUUAAUCGGGGCAGGGUGAGUCGACCCCUAAGGCGAGGCCGAAAGGCGUAGUCGAUGGGAAACAGGUUAAUAUUCCUGUACUUGGUGUUACUGCGAAGGGGGGACGGAGAAGGCUAUGUUAGCCGGGCGACGGUUGUCCCGGUUUAAGCAUGUAGGCUGGUUGUCCAGGCAAAUCCGGAUAAUCAAGGCUGAGGUGUGAUGACGAGGCACUACGGUGCUGAAGUAACAAAUGCCCUGCUUCCAGGAAAAGCCUCUAAGCAUCAGGUAACAUCAAAUCGUACCCCAAACCGACACAGGUGGUCAGGUAGAGAAUACCAAGGCGCUUGAGAGAACUCGGGUGAAGGAACUAGGCAAAAUGGUGCCGUAACUUCGGGAGAAGGCACGCUGGUGUGUAGGUGAAGCCCCUGCGGGUGGAGCUGAGACCAGUCGAAGAUACCAGCUGGCUGCAACUGUUUAUUAAAAACACAGCACUGUGCAAACACGAAAGUGGACGUAUACGGUGUGACGCCUGCCCGGUGCCGGAAGGUUAAUUGAUGGGGUUAUCCGUAAGGAGAAGCUCUUGAUCGAAGCCCCGGUAAACGGCGGCCGUAACUAUAACGGUCCUAAGGUAGCGAAAUUCCUUGUCGGGUAAGUUCCGACCUGCACGAAUGGCGUAAUGAUGGCCAGGCUGUCUCCACCCGAGACUCAGUGAAAUUGAACUCGCUGUGAAGAUGCAGUGUACCCGCGGCAAGACGGAAAGACCCCGUGAACCUUUACUAUAGCUUGACACUGAACAUUGAGCCUUGAUGUGUAGGAUAGGUGGGAGGCUUUGAAGCGUGGACGCCAGUCUGCGUGGAGCCAACCUUGAAAUACCACCCUUUAAUGUUUGAUGUUCUAACGUUGGCCCCUUAUCGGGGUUGCGGACAGUGUCUGGUGGGUAGUUUGACUGGGGCGGUCUCCUCCCAAAGCGUAACGGAGGAGCACGAAGGUUAGCUAAUCCUGGUCGGACAUCAGGAGGUUAGUGCAAUGGCAUAAGCUAGCUUGACUGCGAGCGUGACGGCGCGAGCAGGUGCGAAAGCAGGUCAUAGUGAUCCGGUGGUUCUGAAUGGAAGGGCCAUCGCUCAACGGAUAAAAGGUACUCCGGGGAUAACAGGCUGAUACCGCCCAAGAGUUCAUAUCGACGGCGGUGUUUGGCACCUCGAUGUCGGCUCAUCACAUCCUGGGGCUGAAGUAGGUCCCAAGGGUAUGGCUGUUCGCCAUUUAAAGUGGUACGCGAGCUGGGUUUAGAACGUCGUGAGACAGUUCGGUCCCUAUCUGCCGUGGGCGCUGGAGAAUUGAGGGGGGCUGCUCCUAGUACGAGAGGACCGGAGUGGACGCAUCACUGGUGUUCGGGUUGUCAUGCCAAUGGCACUGCCCGGUAGCUAAAUGCGGAAGAGAUAAGUGCUGAAAGCAUCUAAGCACGAAACUUGCCCCGAGAUGAGUUCUCCCUGAGACUUUAAGUCUCCUGAAGGAACGUUAAAGACGAUGACGUUGAUAGGCCGGGUGUGUAAGCGCAGCGAUGCGUUGAGCUAACCGGUACUAAUGAACCGUGAGGCUUAACCUU